CACUAGCACAUAUGUCAAAUUCCUAAUUAACGUUAUAUUUAUUAUCCGUCGUUUCUUAGAGCCGUAAUUGUGCUGAUAUCAAACUCCAGGGAAGGACACACAGCAAGCGAUUGCUGGGCCCACCUCGCGCCCCUGGCAUCUUUCUCCGCCACGGGCGUGUCCGGGCCUUCUUCCCAUACCC
The sequence is a small nucleolar RNA, 181 nucleotides long. It matches the Rfam family "Small nucleolar RNA snR85".